Molecule: ribosomal RNA, 696 nt
Filed under: uncultured archaeon
Lineage: Archaea
Description: bacterial SSU rRNA
Rfam family: Archaeal small subunit ribosomal RNA
Source: RNAcentral
AGCCAUGCGAGUCGUUGUAGCAUACAAGGCGGACGGCUCAGUAACACGUAGUCACACCUAACCUAUGGACGUGGAUAACCUCGGGAAACUGAGAAUAAACCGCGAUAGAUCAUAAUGCCUGGAAUGGCAUAUGGUCCAAACAAUUUAUUGCCAUAGGAUGGGACUGCGGCCUAUCAGCUUGUUGGUGAGGUAAUGGCCCACCAAGGCUAUAACAGGUACGGGCUCUGAGAGGAGAAGCCCGGAGAUGGGUACUGAGACACGGACCCAGGCCCUAUGGGGCGCAGCAGGCGAGAAACCUUAGCAAUGUGCGAAAGCACGACUAGGUUAAUCCGAGUGGUUCCUGCUAAAGGAACCUUUUGUCAGUCGUAAAACCCACAGAUGAAUAAGGGGUGGGCAAGUCUGGGUGUCAGCCGCCGCGGUAAUACCAGCACCCUCGAGUGUCAAGAAGGUUUAUUGGGGCCUAAAGCAUCCGUAGCCCGGCUAUGCAAGCCCUCCGGUUAAAUCCAACUGCUCAACAGGAUGGGGCUGGCCGGAAAAAAUUACAUAGCUAGGGAGCGGGAAGAGGAAGAACGUUAUUCGUGGGGAGGGGUAAAAUCCCUGAUCCAUCGAGGACCACAGUGGCAAGGCGGCCUUCAAAACCCUUCCACGUAAGGAUGAAGCUGGGAACAACCGGAUUAAUACCGGUAGUCCACUGUA